This 468-nucleotide ribosomal RNA is filed under the name uncultured bacterium. Its description in RNAcentral is "partial 16S ribosomal RNA". It matches the Rfam family "Bacterial small subunit ribosomal RNA", at positions 28 to 507 of the family's 1533-position model. The record is from RNAcentral.
GACGAACGCUGGCGGCGUGCUUAACACAUGCAAGUCGAACGGAAAGGCCCUGCUUUUGUGGGGUGCUCGAGUGGCGAACGGGUGAGUAACACGUGAGUAACCUGCCCUUGACUUUGGGAUAACUUCAGGAAACUGGGGCUAAUACCGGAUAGGAGCUCCUGCUGCAUGGUGGGGGUUGGAAAGUUUCGGCGGUUGGGGAUCGACUCGCGGCUUAUCAGCUUGUUGGUGGGGUAGUUGCUUACCAAGGCUUUGACGGGUAGCCGGCCUGGGAGGGUGACCGGGCACAUUGGGACUGAGGUACGGCCCAGACUCCUACGGGCGGCAGCAGUGGGGAAUAUUGCACAAUGGGCGGAAGCCUGAUGCAGAAACGCCGCGUGCGGGAUGCCGGCCUUCGGGUUGUAAACCGCUUUCGCCUGUGACGAAGCGUGAGUGACGGUAAUGGGUAAAGAAGCACCGGCUAACUACGUG